RNAcentral lists this long non-coding RNA (816 nucleotides) under Mytilus galloprovincialis (Mediterranean mussel). The record is from RNAcentral. Lineage: Eukaryota; Metazoa; Mollusca; Bivalvia; Mytilida; Mytilidae.
ACAUGCAGCUGUCAUAGGUGUUUCCCCCAUACCGUCAGCCUGGGUAACAUCACAUCCUUUGUCGAUAAGUAACUGUACUAUCUUCUCAUUUCCUCCCCAACAAGCAGCUGUCAUAGGUGUUUCCCUCAUACCAUUAGUCUGGGUUACAUAACAUCCUUUGUCUAUAAGUAACUGUACUAUCUUCUCAUUGUCUCCCCAACAAGCAGCUGUCAGAGGUGUUCGUUUUGUACCAACAGUCUGGGUAACAUCACAUCCUUUGUCGAUAAGUAACUGUACUAUCUUCUCAUUUCCUCCCAUACAAGCAGCUGUCAUAGGUGUUUCCCUCAUACCAUUAGUCUGGGUAACAUCACAUCCUUUGUCAAUUAGUAACUGAACUAUCUUAUCAUUUCCUCUCCUACAUGCAGCUGUCAUAGGUGUUUGUUUCAUACCAUCAGCCUGAGUUACAUCACAUCCUUUGUCGAUAAGUAACUGUACUAUCUUCUCAUUUCCUCCCAUACAAGCAGCUGUCAAAGGUGUUUGCUCCAUACCAUUAGUCUGGGUAACAUCACAUCCUUUGUCAAUUAGUAACUGGAAUAUCUUCUCAUUUCCUCCAUAACAUGCAGCUGUCAUAGGUGUUUCCCCCAUACCAUCAGCCUGGUUAACAUCACAUCCUUUGUCUAUAAGUAACUGAACUAUCUUCCCAUUUCUUCCCCAACAAGCAGCUGUCAUAGGUGUUUCCCCCAUACCAACAGCCUGGGUAACAUCACAUCCUUUGUCAAUAAGUAACUGGACUAUCUUCUCAUUUCCUCGCCUACAAGCAGCUGUCAUAGGUGUUUC